Molecule: long non-coding RNA, 858 nt
Organism: Brienomyrus brachyistius
Lineage: Eukaryota; Metazoa; Chordata; Actinopteri; Osteoglossiformes; Mormyridae
Exons: 4
Source: RefSeq, a predicted model, not a curated record
CACUGACUACAGAUGUUGUUCAGCCCAGUCACCUGAUGAGGGUUCAGCUUGGAGACAGUGUGACCCUGACAUGCUUCUGUCAAGGAGAAACAACUUUUGUUACUUUGUUUAAGCAAGCUGUUGGUCGGAAGCCCCAGCCCAUGGCGAAAGCACUUCUCUACGUACCUGGUGAAUUUUACAAGGAAUAUAAAAGCAUAAAACGUUACUCCUUACUGAAUGCAGAGGGGAGUUUUAACCUCACUAUUUCUAACGUGGAGCCGUCAGAUUCUGCAGUGUAUUAUUGUGCUGCUGUGUUUCUUCAUGAGGUCACCUUCGGGAAUGGAACCUUUGUCAUAAUCACAGGUAAAGACUCCAACAGCAGGACUGUGGUACAGCAGCCUGUGUCUGACACAUUGCAGCCAGGAGACUCUGUGAGCCUGCAGUGUACGAUAGAGACUGGGAGCUGUGCAGGAGAACACAGUGUUUACUGGUUCAGACAUGGAUCAGGAGAAUCCCUUCCUGGAGUCAUUUACAGCCAUGGAAACAGCAGUGAUGAGUGUGAGAAGAGCCCUGAGGCUGGAUCUCCUACACGGAGCUGCGUCUACAGCCUCCCCAAGGGGAACCUCAGCCUCUCCGAUGCUGGGACUUACUACUGCGCUGUGGCCAUGUGUGGGGAGAUGCUGUUUGGGAACGGCACAUAGCUGGAUAUAGAUGGCUUUCAGAAGCUGCUGGAUCCUCUUCACUCUGGCUUGCUGAUAGUUUUAUCUUGCAGCAUUAUUCUGAACGUUGCUCUCAUUUGUAUAAGAUGUAAACUGACCUGUACACACUGUGCAGAUGAAAAGAACAGUGAUAUAUCAAAAGUGGAAUGGUCACGCAAGC